Molecule: ribosomal RNA, 252 nt
Filed under: uncultured bacterium
Lineage: Bacteria
Description: partial 16S ribosomal RNA
Rfam family: Bacterial small subunit ribosomal RNA
Source: RNAcentral
ACGGAGGGUGCAAGCGUUAUCCGGAAUCACUGGGUUUAAAGGGUGCGUAGGCGGGCCAGUAAGUCAGAGGUGAAAGCCCACCGCUUAACGGUGGAAUUGCCUUUGAUACUGUUGGUCUUGAAUUAGGUUGAGGUUAGCGGAAUGUGGCAUGUAGCGGUGAAAUGCUUAGAUAUGCCAUAGAACACCGAUUGCGAAGGCAGCUAACUGGCCCUUGAUUGACGCUGAGGCACGAAAGCGUGGGGAGCGAACAGG